RNAcentral lists this ribosomal RNA (1337 nucleotides) under Mycobacterium sp. DWMJ-2047B1. RNAcentral's name for it is "bacterial SSU rRNA". It matches the Rfam family "Bacterial small subunit ribosomal RNA", at positions 81 to 1431 of the family's 1533-position model. Lineage: Bacteria; Bacillati; Actinomycetota; Actinomycetes; Mycobacteriales; Mycobacteriaceae. RNAcentral also lists the same sequence under 1 other name. The record is from RNAcentral.
UUCGGGGUACUCGAGUGGCGAACGGGUGAGUAACACGUGGGUGAUCUGCCCUGCACUUUGGGAUAAGCCUGGGAAACUGGGUCUAAUACCGAAUAGGACCACGCGCUUCAUGGUGUGUGGUGGAAAGCUUUUGCGGUGUGGGAUGGGCCCGCGGCCUAUCAGCUUGUUGGUGGGGUAAUGGCCUACCAAGGCGACGACGGGUAGCCGGCCUGAGAGGGUGACCGGCCACACUGGGACUGAGAUACGGCCCAGACUCCUACGGGAGGCAGCAGUGGGGAAUAUUGCACAAUGGGCGCAAGCCUGAUGCAGCGACGCCGCGUGAGGGAUGACGGCCUUCGGGUUGUAAACCUCUUUCAAUAGGGACGAAGCGCAAGUGACGGUACCUAUAGAAGAAGCACCGGCCAACUACGUGCCAGCAGCCGCGGUAAUACGUAGGGUGCGAGCGUUGUCCGGAAUUACUGGGCGUAAAGAGCUCGUAGGUGGUUUGUCGCGUUGUUCGUGAAAACUCACAGCUUAACUGUGGGCGUGCGGGCGAUACGGGCAGACUAGAGUACUGCAGGGGAGACUGGAAUUCCUGGUGUAGCGGUGGAAUGCGCAGAUAUCAGGAGGAACACCGGUGGCGAAGGCGGGUCUCUGGGCAGUAACUGACGCUGAGGAGCGAAAGCGUGGGGAGCGAACAGGAUUAGAUACCCUGGUAGUCCACGCCGUAAACGGUGGGUACUAGGUGUGGGUUCCUUCCUUGGGAUCCGUGCCGUAGCUAACGCAUUAAGUACCCCGCCUGGGGAGUACGGCCGCAAGGCUAAAACUCAAAGGAAUUGACGGGGGCCCGCACAAGCGGCGGAGCAUGUGGAUUAAUUCGAUGCAACGCGAAGAACCUUACCUGGGUUUGACAUGCACAGGACGCCGGCAGAGAUGUCGGUUCCCUUGUGGCCUGUGUGCAGGUGGUGCAUGGCUGUCGUCAGCUCGUGUCGUGAGAUGUUGGGUUAAGUCCCGCAACGAGCGCAACCCUUGUCCUAUGUUGCCAGCGGGUUAUGCCGGGGACUCGUAGGAGACUGCCGGGGUCAACUCGGAGGAAGGUGGGGAUGACGUCAAGUCAUCAUGCCCCUUAUGUCCAGGGCUUCACACAUGCUACAAUGGCCGGUACAAAGGGCUGCGAUGCCGUGAGGUGGAGCGAAUCCUUUCAAAGCCGGUCUCAGUUCGGAUCGGGGUCUGCAACUCGACCCCGUGAAGUCGGAGUCGCUAGUAAUCGCAGAUCAGCAACGCUGCGGUGAAUACGUUCCCGGGCCUUGUACACACCGCCCGUCACGUCAUGAAAGUCGGUAACACCCGAAGCCGGU